AGUUGCGAACGGCUGAGUAAUGGAUAGGAAUCUCCCCAAUGGUGUGGAAUACCUCAUCGAAAGAUGAGCUAAUACCGCAUGACCUCGCAAGAGAAAAGCGCUUAACUGCGCGCCGAUGGAUGAGCCUAUCUCCCAUCAGGCUGUUGGUAGGGUAAUGGCCUACCAAACCUAUGACGGGUACCCGCCCUGAGAGGGGAAACGGGCAGAAUGGGACUGAGACACGGCCCAUACACCUACGGGUGGCAGCAACAGGGAAUCGUACGCAAUGGACGAAAGUCUGACGUCGCAAUGCCGCGUGGAGGAUGAAGGCCUUCGGGUCGUAAACUUCUUUUAUAGUAAUAGAGAUGUUAUUAAGAAUAAGUGACUGCUAACUCUGUGCCAGCAGCAGCGGUAAUACAGAGGUCACAAGCGUUAUCCGGAUUUAUUGGGCGUAAAGCGUUUCGUAGGCGGCCCUGAAAGUUAUUUUUCAAAGACCACGGCUUAACCGAGGGAAGGGAGGUAAUACUACAGAGCUUGAAAUAUGGUGGGGCUUCUGGAACUGAUGGUGUAGUAGUGAAAUACGUUGAUAUCAUCAGGAACUCCAAGGGCGAAGGCAGGAAGCUAACCAUUUUUUGACGCUGAGGAACGACAGCUAGGGGAGCGAAAGGGAUUAGAGACCCCUGUAGUCCUAGCCGUAAACUAUGCUCGCUAGGGGUAGGACUCGCUAAGGUUAUAUCCUUUGUGAGAUUUUCCAUUUUCUGACUUUCCAUUUUCCAUUAAAUUUUCAAUUGAUCAAUUUUUCAAUUGUUAAAUAAAAUGGCAGAUGGUAAAUAAUGAAAUGGACGAUCUCGCAAAAAUGUAAUUUUUGCGAGCUCUGCCCCGUAAGCUAACGCGUUAAGCGAGCCGCCUGGGGAGUACGGCCGCAAGGCUAAAACUCAAAGGAAUUGACGGGGACCCGCACAACCAGUGGAGCAUGUGGUUUAAUUCGAGACAAAACGAAGAACCUUACCCAGUUUUGACAUACUACCGUACAUGAACCCAGAAAUGGGAUCAAAUCUAAAUUUAUUUGGAUGGUAGAACAGGUGUUGCAUGGCCGUCGUCAGCUCGUGCCGUAGGGUGUUCCCUUCAGUGGGGUAACGAGCGCAACCCUCGCCCUGAGUUAAAUAUUCUCAGGGGACUUUCUGAAUUUAUUUCAGGAGGAAGUGAGGACGACGUCAGGUCAGCAUGGCCCUUAUGACUGGGGCUACACACAUGCUACAAUGGAGCCGACAGAGGGUAGCCAAGCCGUAAGGCGGAGCUAACCCCAUCAAACGGCUUCUCAGUUGGGAUUGAGGGCUGCAAUUCGCCCUCAUGAACGCGGAAUUGGUAGUAAUCGCGCAUCAGCUAUGGCGCGGUGAAUACGUUCUCGGGUCUUGUACACAGAAUAAAUGCGCGCCAAGCAGCUUUCUAGACAAAGUGGUUUGAAUCCACUCCAUGUUCAUAUAGAAAUGAAUAUCGGUAGCCAAAAAAAAUUGACAGGGACAAUACUGGUAACAGAUGUCCCGGAGGGUCUGAGGCAAAAGACAGCCCAAAAUUAAACAGAUGUUCGACCUCCCGGUGUGUCCGAGGGAAGAACUUAAAAAAAUCUGUUUGGGAUGCCUGGAAUUGUUUAUUAAGUGACCUUGGGAGAUCCUAGCAAGAAUGAAGUAAUCGCUUGUUAGGAAGUCAGCUAUUUCCAUAGUAACGCUUGCAAAAUAGAUGUAUAAUCUAUUGACGCAGCGUGAAGGGAGUAACCUAGAAUGAUUACUGCAGAUUAUAUUGUAGGAUUAACCGAUGGAGAAGGGUGUUUUUAUGUUAAUGUUAGACCUCCGGAUAAAAGAUAUCGGGGAUCAAAAAUAGGCAUAGAAACUCACUUUUACAUCAAACUGAGAGAAGACGAUGUUUCACUUCUAAGAGAAAUUAGAAAUUAUUUUAGAUGUGGGGCCGUUUAUUAUCAGAAGGAAAAAAGGAAAAAUCAUUCAGCAUGUUAUCGAUUUGGGAUUAGUUCUCAAAAAGAUAUUCACGAAGUUUUGAUUCCAUUUUUCGAUAAAUACCGACUUAGGAGCGAGAAGAGGAAGAAUUAUAUUCUUUUUCGAAAAGUUGCGAAGUUGGUGAAAGAAGGCCUUCACAGAAAUAAUGAAGGUUUAAAAGAAAUCCUAUUUUUGAAAUCGCAGAUGAAUUCUGGGGCUCGCUCGGUGCGGGAAAUCCGCUCGCCGAGUGGGAACGCGAAGUAACUUCAAAGCUAUCGCAAUCCGCCCGUCAAGUGAGUGAAGUUGGAGAUACCUUAAGUCCCGUUGUACGGGACCAAGGUAGAAUCAGCGACAAGCACUAAGUCGUAAAUUUGUUGCGACUCCAGAAAGUAAUUUUUGGAGUAAAUAUUGCUAUAUCGGUGAACCCUAAGUGGUGAGUAUAAUCGAACCAUAUGGGAAUACCGAGGGAACCCUUCGACGGGGCUCAGGGCUAUAGCCACGAGCGAGGUCGAGUGGGACUCCGUAGAGACUACACGCAAUCGCCACAAAUUAGCAAAUGUUAUUUACUAGGAGUUUUGCAUGACGCAACCGUCAGAAAAACUACUUAUAGAAUCGCUACAAAAAGUCAUGAUUUUGCCGAUAUUUUAAAACGGGGAAUCAAGAUUUUGGGUAGAAGCGCCUGGAUUUAUAAAGAGGGAAAAAAUCGUAAUCUUUGGAUUGUCGAAUUUUCAAAAUCUUUAUUAAAGGAUGUAGAAAUUGAAUCCAGGCAGAAUAGGAUAGAUUUUAUAAGAGGAUUCUUUGACGCCGAAGGCGGCAUCGCAAAAGAACCAAAGGUCAGAUUUUAUUUAUAUUUUUGCCAAAAGGAUAAAAAAAUUCUUUCAAAAAUUAAGAAAUAUUUAUCUGAAUUUAGGAUAAAAAGUGGAGUAAUUCACAAUCCAAGUAAGAAAAUUGACCCAGAUUAUUGGAGAUUUUUUAUUCAUGCAGAGUCUUAUCGAGAUUUUGCCAGAAUAAUUAGCUCUGAUCAUCCGGAAAAAUUUGCUAUUUUGAGGAUGAAGAUAUAGUCCAUGCCCCACGAAAGUCGGGGAACAGUCAUGAACAAGGUAUCCGUACUGGAAGGUGCGGAUGGAUCACCUCCUU
This 3104-nucleotide ribosomal RNA is filed under the name Candidatus Woesebacteria bacterium GW2011_GWA2_40_7b. Its description in RNAcentral is "bacterial SSU rRNA". The stretch from base 1 to 1455 matches the Rfam family "Bacterial small subunit ribosomal RNA". Lineage: Bacteria; Candidatus Woeseibacteriota. The record is from RNAcentral.